CCAGCCCCACAGUCGACUGCCCUUUACUUCCGCUUCCGAUUGGCGAGACCCACAGGACUUCCGGCUACCGAGACGUGGCGGGGAGGCCCAGAGCGUCGCGCGGCCGCCAUCUUGUCCCGAGGAGGCCCUGCCUUCCUCCGGGCUCCCACGAAGGGAAGGGACGGACGCGGAGACGGGAGACUCAGCCGAAAAGUACCAAAAGGUGAGACAACCCUUCCCCUGAGAAUGUCGGAUGAGCAGAAGCACUUGCUUCACCGGACAGCCAAGAAAAAUAUCCUUGGGUGAGGAUUAUACAACAAUCAACCAGGCCAACCAUCUGAAGACUAGUUUAACAGAUCUUAUAACUAAGGAUGCACAGAAGUCACACCAAGACUGGUAGGAAAGGCAGAAAUGUGAAAGGUGAUGGCCCUGAACUCAUGUGCUUCAGUUGAGAAUCCAUCUCAACUAUCUCAACUGGAGAGGUACCCCCUAAAAAGAAAAGGUCUCAACACCAUGCUUGGCUUUCCAGCCCAGAGCACCAGUGCCAGGAAGAGGCACCCACGUAACAUCUGGCUGUGAACAUCAGUGAGGAUUCAGUCUGCCAGGGUGAGAUGGAUGGAAGACUGCUAAAAACCCUGGCACCCUCUGAAAGAGACAAUACACAAAAUUUUCUUCGUGCCACUCACUCUCAAUUCCAGUAGAAAAUGGCACCUCAGAGCACAGUGGAGUCAUACAGGAAGAGAUUGGGUUAUUUGGCUUCAGGGAAAGAGUUGAAGGGACAGCUGUCAAGGUUCCUGUGCUGAGUCCCUCUCCCACACCACCCACAGGCACCAUCUUUCCUGAGUCAAGCACACCCGUUAUAUGGCAUUAACCUGGGGAGAUGCACUAGCCAUAUUUCCUGACUUCUGUGGUCCCACCCUGUCAAGCUCUGUGGAGGAAUUAGCUGGCUGUAGCAUUGCAGACCUUGGCAGGGUCUCGAGGAGAUCUGGCAGACUCAGGAGGUUUCAAAGACAAGGACAGACUGAGUGAAGUGGCUUCAGGGCGAGUGCCAAUUUCCCUGUGCUCCUGACUGAUGUUACCCCUACAGCAGUGGCUCCCAACCUUUUAUUGGCCACGCCCCACCUAAGCAUCUCUAAAAUCCUAAUGCCCCCCUGUGACACACAAUUCUUAUUAUUCAAAAAGUGAACUCCUAUUCACUUGGAGGA
Molecule: long non-coding RNA, 1184 nt
Organism: Myotis brandtii (Brandt's bat)
Lineage: Eukaryota; Metazoa; Chordata; Mammalia; Chiroptera; Vespertilionidae
Exons: 3
Source: RefSeq, a predicted model, not a curated record